AUGAUACAUAUUCACUUAACUCAAACUAUCAAAAUAUUUGAAUGGGUGAUUAGGGGGAAUAGAUGGAAUUAAUAUUGUUGUUAAGAGCAACCCCUAAAAAGAAAAGAAAAGAAAAGAACCGAAAAGAAUUGAAAGGAAAGAAUAAUAUAUGUCAUAUUUCUAUUGCUUGACAUGAUUGCUGGGGCAUAUAUUAUGUAGAGACUUCAUACGACUUAGUAUGUUAUUACAAUUUGUAAAUUCCAUUUUGAUGAUUUGGUUUGGAUGAUCUAGAUGCUCAGCAUUAGCAAUGCAAAGCUCAUGUACACUCAAAGUUGCAUUUCGCUAAUUUGUAGAAUUAACCAGGACAGUAGAUUUCAGGGGGCUUUAGCAUUGGAAUCAGUACCAAUAUGCUUUCUAAUUGUGUAGGAAGGCUUUGCUAUCUUAAUGGGAACUUUCCUGAUAUAGAAUAUGCAAUACACCCUUGAUAUACUUGGCAUUCUCUAGAUGUUACCUUUUAUGGGAUUAGUAGCAGUGAACAUCCUCUAUGCCUCACAAUUUUUUUAUCCACUUGUGUUUUUUGAACUUCCACGCAACAAUUUGGCUUAGAAAUGUAGUUACUUUUUGCUUGUUUAGCUAAUAUAGUUUUCAUGUGAAGAAUGGAAAUGAUAUAAACUGAAAAAUCAAUGUGCACUUCAUUUUUCUUUUGAUGGGCUUUACUCAUUUUUUAUUUGAAUUCAUUAAAUAUUGAGCUUAAUGUCCUAGCUAUGACCAUUUCCACAUAUGGAUUUCAAGAUCAAGCUGUUAAUAGUUGGUGGAAAAAGACUAAAACUUACGAUUUGGGACACAGCUGAACAAGAGAGGUUUGGAACAUUGAUAAGCUCUUACUAUAGAGGUGCACAUGGAAUUAUCCUCCAUAAGCUAUUUACAAAUGCAGAAAAUUUGCAUUCUAGUGUCAUUUAUGUGGUAGUUACACUUUUGACAGUAUAUUUUUGACAGUAUUUCACAUGGAAUAGUUCUUUGAUUUUUUGGGGGUAACACAUGAAUUCUGUUGAAAAUUUCUGCUCGGUCACAUGCUUCUUCCUACCAUUUCAAUCAAUUUAAAUAGUUUUAAUUA
Molecule: non-coding RNA, 1093 nt
Organism: Camellia sinensis
Lineage: Eukaryota; Viridiplantae; Streptophyta; Magnoliopsida; Ericales; Theaceae
Source: RefSeq, a predicted model, not a curated record